Molecule: ribosomal RNA, 1244 nt
Filed under: metagenome
Description: bacterial LSU rRNA
Rfam family: Bacterial large subunit ribosomal RNA
Source: RNAcentral
UGAAUACGAGAUGCUACGGCGUCGAAGCAGUCUAUGUCAUACUUCCAAGAAAAGCUUGCACUGUCAUAAACAAAUAAUGCCUGUACCAUAACCGACACAGGUGGGUAGGUAGAGUAUACUAAGGGGCGCGAGAUAACUCUCUCUAAGGAACUCGGCAAAAUGACUCCGUAACUUCGGGAGAAGGAGUGCCUUAUUUAUAAGGUUGCAAUAACAAGAUCCAAGCAACUGUUUACCAAAAACACAGGUCUCCGCUAAGUCGUAAGACGAUGUAUGGGGGCUGACGCCUGCCCAGUGCCAGAAGGUUAAAGAAGUUGGUUAGCAUCCGCGAAGCUGAUAACUGAAGCCCUGGUGAACGGCGGCCGUAACAAUAACGGUCCUAAGGUAGCGAAAUUCCUUGUCGGGUAAGUUCCGACCCGCACGAAAGGCGUAAUGAUUUGGAUACUGUCUCGGAGAGGGGCUCGGUGAAAUAGACUUGUCUGUGAAGAUGCGGACUACCUGCACCAGGACAGAAAGACCCUAUGAAGCUUUACUGUAACCUGAAAUUGAAAUUGGACUUUACUUGCGCAGUAUAGGUGGGAGGCGUUGAGAAUAUUCUUGCGGGAUUAUUGGAGCCAUCAGUGAGAUACCACUCUUGUUAUGUUAGAUUUCUAACUUUGUAUCAUUAUCUGGUCAAAGAACAGUUUCAGGCGGGCAGUUUGACAGGGGCGGUCGCCUCCUAAACGGUAACGGAGGCGCACAAAGGUUUCCUCUGAACGGGUAGAAAUCGUAUCUAGAGUGUAAAGGCAUAAGGAAGCUUGACUGUGAGACCUACAAGUCGAGCAGGGACGAAAGUCGGUCUUAGUGAUCUGACGGUGCUGAGUGGAAAGGCCGUCACUCAACGGAUAAAAGUUACUCUAAGGAUAACAGGUUGAUCUCCCCCAAGAGUUCACAUCGACGGGGAGGUUUGGCACCUCGAUGUCGGCUCAUCGCAUCCUGGGGCGGUAGUACGUCCCAAGGGUUGGGCUGUUCGCCCAUGAAAGCGGUACGCGAGCUGGGUUCAGAACGUCGUGAGACAGUUCGGUCCAUAUCCGGUGUAGGCGUUAGAAUAUUGAGAGGAGCCUUCUUUAGUACGAGAGGACCGAGAAGGACAUACCUCUGGUGUACCAGUUAUCGUGCCAACGGUAAACGCUGGGUAGCUAUGUGUGGAGUGGAUAACUGCUGAAAGCAUCUAAGUGGGAAGCCCACCUCAAGAUAAGUAUUCUCUU